ACUUUUAUGCCUUUGAGACCUGCACUAUGAUCUCUCUAAAAAUAUUUUCUCAAAAGAUCUCACCACACAUAAAUCAGAUUAUAAGUUUCACACAUGAACAAUCUGAUUUUAGGAUAAGUAUCUCAUGCUUUUCAUUUUCUUUCUUCACUUUCUUUCUAUUUUUCUUUUUCUUUUCCCUUUCUUUUUCACUUUAGAUUUUUCUUGACUUAUCCUCAUCUAAUUCCACACCUAAACCACUCU
This 240-nucleotide long non-coding RNA is filed under the name Elaeis guineensis (African oil palm). RNAcentral describes it as "long non-coding RNA (EGUI_LNC032246)". The record is from RNAcentral. Lineage: Eukaryota; Viridiplantae; Streptophyta; Magnoliopsida; Arecales; Arecaceae.